UGAUCGUCCGACCCAUCUGAGCGCCGCUCGUCUUUAUCCUCUCCCCCAGCGAAGAUGAUGCCAGUUUCAGCUUAGACAAAUCAAGUUUUUCCAUUUCUUGAAUUUGGAAACAGAUUUUGCAAAAAGGGUUUCAGAGAAAAAUUGUCAGUUCAGGUGGGAUUCAAUUCUUUUUUUAUCAAUGAAAUUAUCAGGGCUCUUGGAUUGAGUCAAUAAGAUACGCGUGGCUGCGUGUCUAUCGAGCAGAAAAAGACCAGAUGGAGAUAUUAGUAUAAUACUAUCUAGAAGUAAGAUAUUUGUACUUGUUGGCUUACACUUUGGUUUAUCUGACCCCGCUCCUCCUCUCACAUGAGAUCGGGUCCUACAUGGGAGUCACGACGUGAGGGCCCAAUCCUCAUGUGAGAGGAGGAGGUGAGGUCGAGUAACUCAAAGUGUAAAAUGACAUGUACAAAUAGCAUGGCCCUACUAUCUAUUCAAUCUUGCAGGCGGUGCCU
RNAcentral lists this long non-coding RNA (491 nucleotides) under Olea europaea (common olive). RNAcentral describes it as "long non-coding RNA (OEUR_LNC015523)". The record is from RNAcentral. Lineage: Eukaryota; Viridiplantae; Streptophyta; Magnoliopsida; Lamiales; Oleaceae.